RNAcentral lists this ribosomal RNA (990 nucleotides) under Russula brevipileocystidiata. RNAcentral's name for it is "eukaryotic LSU rRNA". It matches the Rfam family "Eukaryotic large subunit ribosomal RNA", at positions 24 to 980 of the family's 3401-position model. Lineage: Eukaryota; Fungi; Basidiomycota; Agaricomycetes; Russulales; Russulaceae. The record is from RNAcentral.
UUUUAUCCCCCCGGGAAAACUAGCAUAUCAAUAAGCGGAGGAAAAGAAACUAACAAGGAUUCCCCUAGUAACUGCGAGUGAAGCGGGAAAAGCUCAAAUUUAAAAUCUGGUGGUCUUUGGCCAUCCGAGUUGUAAUUUAGAGAAGCGUCUUCCGCGCUGGACCGUGCACAAGUCUCCUGGAACGGAGCGUCACAGAGGGUGAGAAUCCCGUCUUUGGCACGGACACACCAGGGCUUUAUGUGAUGCGCUCUCGAAGAGUCGAGUUGUUUGGGAAUGCAGCUCAAAAUGGGUGGUGAACUCCAUCUAAAGCUAAAUAUUGGCGAGAGACCGAUAGCGAACAAGUACCGUGAGGGAAAGAUGAAAAGCACUUUGGAAAGAGAGUGAAACAGUACGUGAAAUUGUUGAAAGGGAAACGCUUGAAGUCAGUCGCGUCGACCGAGACUCAGCCUCGCCUUGGCUUGGUGUACUUCUCGGCUCGACGGGUCAGCAUCAAUUUCGUCUCUUGGAUAAUGGCGAGGGAAAUGUGACACCUUUACGGUGUGUUAUAGUCUCUUGUCGCAUGCAAGGGUUGGGAUUGAGGAACUCAGCACGCGCCUUUGGGUGUCGGGGCUUUGCCCACGAUACGUGCUCAGGAUGUUGGCGUAAUGGCUUUAAACGACCCGUCUUGAAACACGGACCAAGGAGUCUAACAUGCCUGCGAGUGUUCGGGUGGAAAACCCGUGCGCGCAAUGAAAGUGAAAGUUGGGACCUCUGUCGUGGAGGGCACCGACGCCCGGACCAGACCUUCUGUGACGGCUCUGCGGUAGAGCAUGCAUGUUAGGACCCGAAAGAUGGUGAACUAUGCCUGAAUAGGGUGAAGCCAGAGGAAACUCUGGUGGAGGCUCGUAGCGAUUCUGACGUGCAAAUCGAUCGUCAAAUUUGGGUAUAGGGGCGAAAGACUAAUCGAACCAUCUAGUAGCUGGUUCCUGCCGAUUUCCCCCCCCCAGAAAA